This 429-nucleotide ribosomal RNA is filed under the name Gemmatimonadota bacterium. Its description in RNAcentral is "Gemmatimonadetes bacterium partial 16S ribosomal RNA". It matches the Rfam family "Bacterial small subunit ribosomal RNA", at positions 355 to 776 of the family's 1533-position model. Lineage: Bacteria; Pseudomonadati; Gemmatimonadota. The record is from RNAcentral.
UAGGGAAUCUUCGGCAAUGGACGAAAGUCUGACCGAGCAACGCCGCGUGAGUGAAGAAGGUUUUCGGAUCGUAAAACUCUGUUGUUAGAGAAGAACAAGGACGUUAGUAACUGAACGUCCCCUGACGGUAUCUAACCAGAAAGCCACGGCUAACUACGUGCCAGCAGCCGCGGUAAUACGUAGGUGGCAAGCGUUGUCCGGAUUUAUUUGGCGUAAAGCGAGCGCAGGCGGUUUCUUAAGUCUGGUGUGAAAGCCCCCGGCUCAACCGGGGAGGGUCAUUGGAAACUGGGAGACUUGAGUGCAGGAGAGGAGAGUGGAAUUCCAUGUGUAGCGGUGAAAUGCGUAGAUAUAUGGGGGAACAACAGUGGCGAAGGGGGCUCUAUGGUCUGUAACUGACGCUGAGGCUCGAAAGCGUGGGGAGCAAACAGG